UAGCUUGGUUGGUAGAGCGUCUGCCUUGUAAGCGCUAGGCCGCGGGUUCGAUUCCCGC
RNAcentral lists this transfer RNA (58 nucleotides) under Diaphorina citri (Asian citrus psyllid). It matches the Rfam family "tRNA", at positions 8 to 63 of the family's 71-position model. From Rfam's summary of the family: Transfer RNA (tRNA) molecules are approximately 80 nucleotides in length. Their secondary structure includes four short double-helical elements and three loops (D, anti-codon, and T loops). Lineage: Eukaryota; Metazoa; Arthropoda; Insecta; Hemiptera; Psyllidae. The record is from Rfam by way of RNAcentral.